AUCGCUUCUCGGCUUUUUGGCUAAGAUCAUGUGUGAUAUCUGUUUUUGUCCGCUUAAUAUCUGGCAUGCUGGGCAUUGCCUGGCACCAAUAUUAAGCUGAUUUUUGCUUCUCGAGUUAACACCGAAGCUUGCUUCGAUUGACUCAUAGAUUGUCCCGGUCUUACAAUACCAUAAUGAUAUGUCUGCUUCAG
Small nuclear RNA from Symsagittifera roscoffensis, 191 nucleotides. RefSeq annotates it as U2 spliceosomal RNA. The record is from RefSeq and is a predicted model, not a curated record. NCBI's taxonomy places the organism in Eukaryota, Metazoa, Xenacoelomorpha, Acoela, Convolutidae. The transcript has a single exon.